This 263-nucleotide ribosomal RNA is filed under the name uncultured bacterium. RNAcentral describes it as "partial 16S ribosomal RNA". It matches the Rfam family "Bacterial small subunit ribosomal RNA", at positions 524 to 786 of the family's 1533-position model. The record is from RNAcentral.
UACGGGGGGUGCAAGCGUUGUUCGGAAUUAUUGGGCGUAAAGAGCGUGUAGGCGGCUUGGUAAGUCAGAUGUGAAAGCCCCGGGCUUAACCCGGGAAGUGCAUUUGAAACUGCCUGGCUAGAGUAGGGGAGAGGGAAGUGGAAUUCCUGGUGUAGAGGUGAAAUUCGUAGAUAUCAGGAGGAACACCGGUGGCGAAGGCGACUUCCUGGCCCUAUACUGACGCUGAGACGCGAGAGCGUGGGUAGCAAACAGGAUUAGAUACC